CACGUAGGGCGCAAGCGUUGUCCGGAAUUAUUGGGCGUAAAGAGCUCGUAGGCGGUCUGUUGCGUCCGCUGUGAAAACUCGGGGCUUAACCCCGAGCCUGCAGUGGAUACGGGCAGACUAGAGGUAGGUAGGGGAGAAUGGAAUUCCCGGUGUAGCGGUGAAAUGCGCAGAUAUCGAGAGGAACACCUGCGGCGAAGGCGGGUUGCUGGGCUGACACUGACGCUGAGGCGCGAAAGCUAGGGGAGCGAACGGG
This 253-nucleotide ribosomal RNA is filed under the name uncultured bacterium. RNAcentral's name for it is "partial 16S ribosomal RNA". It matches the Rfam family "Bacterial small subunit ribosomal RNA", at positions 524 to 776 of the family's 1533-position model. The record is from RNAcentral.